CCAACGGCCCUUUUUAAGGGCCACCACAUUUUCCGAAGAGCAAUUGUU
Non-coding RNA from Folsomia candida, 48 nucleotides. NCBI's taxonomy places the organism in Eukaryota, Metazoa, Arthropoda, Collembola, Entomobryomorpha, Isotomidae. The record is from Rfam.